Long non-coding RNA from Rosa rugosa (rugosa rose), 1461 nucleotides. RefSeq lists it as uncharacterized. The transcript is spliced from 2 exons. The record is from RefSeq and is a predicted model, not a curated record. NCBI's taxonomy places the organism in Eukaryota, Viridiplantae, Streptophyta, Magnoliopsida, Rosales, Rosaceae.
AUGUAUUUAUUUUUUUGCUAAAAGGGGUAGUUUUUCGUGUUUUACGUCUUACAUAACCCACGUUUCUCUCUGUUUUUCUCUGACCUAGACCAAUCCCCUCUCUCUCUUUCUCUGACCUAGAACAGGGCACCAUAGCCGCAUCUAUCUUCCUCAGUCUUCUGCAACAACAGCCGCAUAAAUAUUCUCGGAAAAUCCUUGGUCUCCCAGAACCGCGCUUCAAGUUUCCGCCAUGAAUAUCAAACUUCUUUUCAUCUCUCUGUUUCUUCAGAGGGUCGAAAGAUUUGAUGGGGGAGUGCAGUGUUGGAGGCUUGAUCCUGGUUGAUGUAGAUUUCACAGAUCCCUGAAUAUGGAAGUGAUUCAGAGAAACUCACUGCUAUGUUUUGUGGACAAUUCAAAGGAUUCCUUCUUUCUCCGUCCUUUCCUGCAAAUGGUAGAUUGGUCUUUCUUUGUUGUUAAUCUCUCUUUUUGUUUGGCUUCAAUUUGAGGUUGGCUCUCUGGUUUCAAUUGACUUUCAAACCUGAACAAUUUUGCUUUGCUUUUUUUUGGUUUUUUAGAGGGUCUUCUUUCUCAGAUUCCAACUUUCAAUUCUAAAUCUUCUGUCCCUGCUAAGCCCUACUGACGACUCGUUUUGGUUAUCUUCUGUUGUUUGGCCUUUCUCUGGUUUGCUCUUUUUUUUUUUCUAGAAUUCUGCGGAAGAGUUGGUAGAGUUUGCAUCAUAAGUAUUUCCGCUGCCCAUCUUUGUCAGUUAAAUUGCUGAGAUCGAAUUAGAGGACCCUUUUAUGCUGUUUGUGGAGUGACAUUAGUCUUUUCUCUGAACUUUGAUCUCUGUAUCUUUUUUCUUAGAACCCUUCACCCAUGAUUUUUUUUUGUUCACCCUGCUUGUUAAUUUUGCAUAAUUACGAAGGUUGAAGUAGAGGGUUUAAUUUCAAACUUUUUCUAUCCCUCUGCUUCUUGUGUGGGUCAAGAUUUUCGUCCGUGUUUUGAGAUCUGUGAACUCCAUUUUAACUUCCCAGAUCUAUGGAUUGAAGAAUUCAAAUAUUACCGGUCUUGUCUGCCAUACACCUCUCAAGUCAAAUUAAAACGGGGGUUUCCAGUCUUCUCUCUGAAAGUACAAGGCCAAAUCAAAAUGCGUCAGACGCUAAGUUCCUGUCAAAUCUACCAAUGCCUCUUUCUUUUCACCCAAUUGAAUGAAAGAUAUGUAAAUUGGUCUUUCUCCCAAACUAAAAGAAAUUACUGUAAAAAAAAAAAAAAAAUUUACCGUCCUAGUUAAUGCAUGGUACUACCCUCCUAAUCAAUGUAGGAUAGAUUUGAUUUGAGUACGGAGUUUUGUUAUUCAAAGUUACUGAAGAUUGAUGUGGUGUGUGGGCCAUUUGUAUGGGCUAGCUAUUUCAGUUUAUUUUUUAUUACAUUUUUUUGUAAAUUUUUUUUGUUAGUAAUUACAUCUUUAUAUAUUACAAUUAU